UAUCAUCUUGAGCGUCACAGGAAGUCUUUUCAUUGGUAGUUGGUACAUUUUUGCAUAACCUUCCAGGAGAUUUCACAUGAGAAACUGAUUUCUUUACUCCUUUGGUGCUUGGGUGGCUUUUUCCAUUACUGUAACGUUCCUUUGUGGUUUUCAUUGAUUUGGCUUUCCUUUUUCUGUGCCUUUCGGUGCAGUAAUAAAGGAUGUUCCUGAAUGCCCGGUCCCAUUAUUACUCUUUUAAAGUGGUAUCUACAUCUUUAUCUUUACAUAAUCUUCCAACGACUCCAU
RNAcentral lists this long non-coding RNA (285 nucleotides) under Gallus gallus (chicken). Lineage: Eukaryota; Metazoa; Chordata; Aves; Galliformes; Phasianidae. The record is from RNAcentral.